Molecule: ribosomal RNA, 935 nt
Filed under: Voragocoris schuhi
Lineage: Eukaryota; Metazoa; Arthropoda; Insecta; Hemiptera; Schizopteridae
Description: SSU rRNA
Rfam family: Eukaryotic small subunit ribosomal RNA
Source: RNAcentral
GGCACGCAAAUUACCCACUCCCGGCACGGGGAGGUAGUGACAAAAAAUAACGAUACGGGACUCAUCCGAGGCCCCGUAAUCGGAAUGAGUACACUUUAAAUCCUUUCAUGAGGAUCCAUUGGAGGGCAAGCCUGGUGCCAGCAGCCGCGGUAAUUCCAGCUCCAAUAGCGUAUAUUAAAGUUGUUGCGGUUAAAAAGCUCGUAGUUGGUUCUGUGUGCCAUGCUGUUGGUUCACCGCCUGUCGGUGCAACUAACAUGUCAUGGAACGUCUUGUCGGUGGUAAUUAAAGACUUAUUUAUUAGUACAAGUUUUACUUGAACUAAUAGUAAGUUCCUUUAAUUACCGAUUAGUUCCUACCGCGGUGCUCUUCAUUGAGUGUCGAGGUCGGCCGACAAGUUUACUUUGAACAAAUUAGAGUGCUUAAAGCAGGCAAAAGUCUGCCUUGAAUAGUAGUGCAUGGAAUAAUAGAAUAGGACCUUGGUUCUAUUUUGUUGGUUUUCUGAAUCCAAGGUAAUGAUCAAUAUGGACAGGCGGGGGCAUUCGUAUUGCGACGUUAGAGGUGAAAUUCUUGGAUCGUCGCAAGACGAACUAGAGCGAAAGCAUUUGCCAAGUAUGUCUUAAUUGAUCAAGAACGAAAGUUAGAGGUUCGAAGGCGAUCAGAUACCGCCCUAGUUCUAACCAUAAACGAUGCCAGCUAGCGAUCCGCCGAUGUUUUUCUCAUGACUCGACGGGCAGCUCCCCGGGAAACCAAAGCUUUUGGGUUCCGGGGGAAGUAUGGUUGCAAAGCUGAAACUUAAAGGAAUUGACGGAAGGGCACCACCAGGAGUGGAGCUUGCGGUUUAAUUUGACUCAACACGGGAAACCUUAUCAGGCCCAGACAUUGGAAGGAUUGACAGAUUGAUAGCUCUUUCUUGAUUCAAUGGGUAGUGGUGCAUG